RNAcentral lists this long non-coding RNA (491 nucleotides) under Populus tremula. RNAcentral describes it as "long non-coding RNA (PTRE_LNC000526)". The record is from RNAcentral. Lineage: Eukaryota; Viridiplantae; Streptophyta; Magnoliopsida; Malpighiales; Salicaceae.
CUCAAACAUGUGGAUGAAAGGGAGAGAAGCAUCAAUCUCUACUCACAGUCGGGCAUAUUUCAGCCUGGUGCACCUGUAGGUUUGUUCAUCACAAGAGAGAGGUCAACCUACCAUUCUAGUAGCAAUACUCAAACCUUUCUUUGACUAGAGAGGAAAAUAAAGCCCAUGGAGAUGAAUCCAGACUGACAACUUAGAGAUUUUGUUUUUGUCAAACUGAAAGCUGCCAAUGCUGCAGGACAAUAGUUUUGCCCCCAAACAUUCAUGGCCCUUUAUCUAACACAACCUACAUCUCUGCUUCUGUCUUGAAUGGAAAAAUCAUGUUGCCAUUUGAUGUGGUCAUCAGUGUUCCAGGUCGCAAUGCUUCCAAACUCUAGAGGCUAUGGUGUUGAAGGAAUGAUAUGGCAUCUUAAAACAUGGGAAGAAGCCAAUCAUGCACCUGUUCUACUGCUUAGCAGUGUCCAUCAAGAUUUCCUGUGAUAUUUGGAGCUUGU